This is a long non-coding RNA of Myotis brandtii (Brandt's bat), 823 nucleotides long. RefSeq lists it as uncharacterized. The transcript has 4 exons. NCBI's taxonomy places the organism in Eukaryota, Metazoa, Chordata, Mammalia, Chiroptera, Vespertilionidae. The record is from RefSeq and is a predicted model, not a curated record.
CUGGCCAUUCCCAGGCUUCCCGACUCUCUAGGAACGGCGAGGAGGCACUGCCUUGGCCAGCUUCCUGCCAUUCAGCCGGGAGCCGGGCCCGGGGAGGGCUCGCGCUGGGAAAACAAAUGCGCGAGGGAAGGACCAGGAGGAGGAAGUGACAGCUAGGACGCUCCAAAGGGACCGCGGCUAAGCCACGGCCAACGCUGCAGAGCAGGAAGCGGAGCACAAACAGGAUCUGAGCGAGAAAAUUUGCCUGAAAACCAAGCUCAUCUUGCUGGGAUUCCUUCCUGAGAAGCAGUUUUCCCCUCUCCACUGAAACUCUCCACAGUCCACCAAUGAUUCCUCUUCACUUCUGUUCCUCAAGAGCUAGAUUUAAAGAAGCUAUUUGAAAUAAUAUACUUCCUUCUUCUUUGUGAUUGAAUCUAUGGUGGUAAUAAAACAAAAAAAUAAAGAACAGCUGUGCAGAGAUGUGACCAUGACUCCAUAAUUUCCAGUUAACUUUGAACAACAACAAAAGGCUGAAAUGCAAGAAAAUGAAAAUCUUCCUUGGAGCAAGGAUUCUGGUCAGCUUCACCCCUAACCCUUGCAGUGUCCAUGAUGUCCUGUAUUUGGGAGAGAACAGUGUUCACAGAGCUCAAACCUGGAGACCCAGGAGCUGGGAGAAGCAUUUGGUAUACGCCUCCUGGCUCCUAAUGAAAGUCAACUCUUCUGGAGCAAGCCUCACCUCGGGACGAAAGCAGAAAGGGGUUGAACACUGACUUAAGGAAAGUGUAUAGAUUCCUAUCUUAUGUAAAGUGCAUGAAGACAAACAUUUUUAUUAUUUUAAAUAAAU